Molecule: ribosomal RNA, 253 nt
Filed under: uncultured bacterium
Lineage: Bacteria
Description: partial 16S ribosomal RNA
Rfam family: Bacterial small subunit ribosomal RNA
Source: RNAcentral
UACGUAGGGUGCGAGCGUUGUCCGGAAUUAUUGGGCGUAAAGAGCUCGUAGGCGGUGUGUCGCGUCGGCCGUGAAAACCUGCAGCUUAACUGUGGGCCUGCGGCCGAUACGGGCAGACUUGAGUUCGGUAGGGGAGACUGGAAUUCCUGGUGUAGCGGUGAAAUGCGCAGAUAUCAGGAGGAACACCGGUGGCGAAGGCGGGUCUCUGGGCCGAUACUGACGCUGAGGAGCGAAAGCGUGGGGAGCGAACAGG